UCGGGAAUUUUCGGCAAUGGGGGAAACCCUGACCGAGCAAUGCCGCGUGAGGGAUGAAGGUCUUCGGAUCGUAAACCUUUGUCUAGAGGGACGAUAAUGACGGUACCUCUGGAGGAAGCCACGGCUAACUACGUGCCAGCAGCCGCGGUAAUACGUAGGUGGCGAGCGUUGUCCGGAAUUACUGGGCGUAAAGGGCGUGUAGGUGGCCUUUUAAGUCAGACGUGAAACUCAUGGGCUUAACCCAUGACCUGCGUUUGAUACUGGAGGGCUUGAGGGCAGGAGAGGAGAGCGGAACUCCGUGUGUAGCGGUGAAAUGCGUAGAUAUACGGAAGAACACCAGUGGCGAAGGCGGCUCUCUGGACUGUACCUGACACUGAGGCGCGAAAGCUAGGGGAGCGAACGGG
RNAcentral lists this ribosomal RNA (404 nucleotides) under uncultured prokaryote. RNAcentral describes it as "bacterial SSU rRNA". It matches the Rfam family "Bacterial small subunit ribosomal RNA", at positions 355 to 776 of the family's 1533-position model. RNAcentral also lists the same sequence under 1 other name. The record is from RNAcentral.